CCCUUAGAUGUUCUGGGCCGCACGCGCGCUACACUGACGAUGGCAACGAGUUUUUCCUUCGCCGAAAGGUGUGGGUAAUCUUUUGAAACAUCGUCGUGCUGGGGAUAGAUCAUUGCAAUUUUUGAUCUUGAACGAGGAAUUCCUAGUAAGCGCGAGUCAUCAGCUCGCGUUGAUUACGUCCCUGCCCUUUGUACACACCGCCCGUCGCUACUACCGAUUGAAUGGUUUAGUGAGGACUCCUGAUUGGCGCCGCCGCCCCGGCAGCGGAGCAGCGGACUGCCGAAAAGUUGUUCAAACUUGAUCAUUUAGAGGAAGUAAAAGUCGUAACA
RNAcentral lists this ribosomal RNA (329 nucleotides) under uncultured eukaryote. Its description in RNAcentral is "partial 18S ribosomal RNA". It matches the Rfam family "Eukaryotic small subunit ribosomal RNA", at positions 1470 to 1796 of the family's 1831-position model. The record is from RNAcentral.